GUGAGUCCUCAGCGAGAAUAAUCCAUCUUUAGGGAGGAUAACAGAACCACCCCUGACUGAGCAGGAAGAUUAGCCCUGAGCUAACUGCUGCCCCCAAUCCUCCUCUUUUUGCUGAGGAAGACUGGCCCUGAGCGAACAUCUGUGCCCAUCUUCCUCUACUUUCUAUGUGGGAUGCCUACCACAGCAUGGCGUGCCAAGCGGUACCAUGUCCGCACCCAGGAUCCGAACCGGCAAACCCUGGCCCCAGAAGCGGAACAUGCGAACUUAACCACUGCACCACCAGGCCAGCCCCAAGGACCCCAUGAUCUUCAGUUUGCUUCAUUUACCCAUUAAACAAAUAACUAUUGAGCUCCUGUUGUAUGCCAGGCACCGAGGAUACCACGAUGACCAAGAUAGACUAGGUCCUGCUCUCAUGCAGCUGAUGUUCUCGUCACAAAAACACUGAACAAAGAAAUAACUUCAGAUGGUGAGGAGUCCCACGAAAUAAAGAACGAUGAUGAGAUAGUCCCUUGGGUGAGGCGAGGGGGGCCCCUUUCGAUGUGAUGGGUAGACAAGGCCCCUAGGGAAGCCACGUUUAGGCUGAGAAUUGGCUGAGGAGAAGGAACCAUGGGGCAUUCAUAGGACAUUCAUGGAGCCAGGCAGAGGGAAUAGUUGUAAAAGUUGUAGAAUUUUUAUUGGAGAAACCAUCUGGGUCUACAACACAGGAGCCACAGAGCUGACCCAGACAAGGAAAUGCUGUUUUGACACACGCCGUGAUGACACAGACCUCCAGCCCCUGCUACAGGGUGCGACCUGACAACUCCUCUACAAACAUUCGAGAGUGCCUACUGAGUGCAAGGCACAGCGCCUCUGAGUCAGAAUCGCUGCUCAGCGCCAAGUGGCUGGAGGCAGCCAAGAGGAAUGCUUGCUGACCUUUCGGAGCUGGCAGUGACAGUGAUAAAUGAAGGGGGAUUUGGAUGCUCGCCCUUGACUAUAAGAGGAAACAGGCGGAUUGUGAACUGGGGCUCAUAUUCUGAAGCUUGAGUUUCACCAGCUAUGCAGUUUCUAGAGCCAUUUGCUCCCACAGAGCAUGGCAGGCAUUUGGACUUAAGGACUGACCUACUGGACUUAUGGACUACUCAGCUAUCGGCUCAGAUUCCUGAGCCUGGAACGUGCAGGCAACCUCACCAAGCUGUGGCCUCUGCUCGGGGCCAGGCUGGCCUGGUGGGCACACCGGUGACGGAGCUGACAUGAAGGGCCAUGUUGGGAGUCCAAACACCGGGGUCUCCCUCCCAGCAGCGCCCACAGGAGCCAGGCAACCUCUCCAGCCAUUCUAAUAGAAACAAGCAAGCAUCUGCUAGUGUCCAGGCAUGGUGUGGGCUCCUCACACACAGUAUCUCAUUUAACCCCCAGCACCAUCCUUUGGGGAAAGUACUGCCACGGUCCCUCCCAGAUGAGGCUGCUGGAGGCUUUGUAACUGGCCCAAGUUCCCUCAAGGGCAGAGGCCCAUGUUCCAGGAGACGGCCAGGAAGACCACAAAACAGCCAGUGCUUCUCUGCAGGCCUUUCUUCAGCCUACUUUCCAUCCCCUUGUGCCAGCCCGGGCCUCCGGCUUAGUUUUGUAGGCCUAGAAGGCUGAGGGGUUCAGGGGAAAGGUGGGCCAUUAUGAGCUCUCUCCGCACACUCCUUUCUCACUCCCUAUGAAGUCCAACUGUCCAGAGAGCUGACCUGAGGACACCGCCUCCAGGAAGCCUUCCCUGGGCCCUGAGGCUGGGUCAGGGCUCUUUCCUGGAGCCUCCCACAGGACCUAGUCCUUAUCACACUGUAUUAUUGACCUGGCCGAUAGCCAGUCUCCCACAGGCUCCUUGAGGGCAGAGACCUGGUCGGUUUUGCUCACAGUGGCAUCCACAGUGUGGUAUUUCAGUGAAGAAAUAAACGAAGACCACCUCUGGUCUCCUGUGUCCCACUCUGGGCCUUUUCCCCAAUUCAGCUGCACAAAUUCCUUCCAGCAGAAGCCACGCAUUCUGGAUGUUGUGUUGCAUGUCUCGUGCUGUGCUUUGCUCCU
Equus caballus (horse) is the source of this 2043-nucleotide long non-coding RNA. NCBI's taxonomy places the organism in Eukaryota, Metazoa, Chordata, Mammalia, Perissodactyla, Equidae. The record is from Ensembl.